GCUAUCAAUUGAAGAUUCUUACCACGGCAAUAUUCAGUGCAAUACUUCUCAAGAGAACGUUUUCAUGCACCAAAUGGUUUUCGCUCAUUAUCCU
This 94-nucleotide non-coding RNA is filed under the name Ditylum brightwellii. The record is from RNAcentral. Lineage: Eukaryota; Bacillariophyta; Thalassiosirophyceae; Lithodesmiales; Lithodesmiaceae.